Molecule: ribosomal RNA, 855 nt
Filed under: uncultured bacterium
Lineage: Bacteria
Description: bacterial SSU rRNA
Rfam family: Bacterial small subunit ribosomal RNA
Source: RNAcentral
GGCAGCGGGGUAGGAAGCUUGCUUUCUGCCGCCGGCGACCGGCGCACGGGUGAGUAACACGUAUGCAACCUGGCCGUGGCAGAUGGAUAACCGGGAGAAAUCCCGCCUAAUACAACAUAAUGCCGGGAGGGGACAUCCCCUGCCGGCCAAAGGGGGCGACCCCGGUCACGGAUGGGCAUGCGGCGCAUUAGGUAGUUGGUGGGGCAACGGCCCACCAAGCCGACGAUGCGUAGGGGUUCUGAGAGGAAGGUCCCCCACAUUGGAACUGAGACACGGUCCAAACUCCUACGGGAGGCAGCAGUGAGGAAUAUUGGUCAAUGGCCGGAAGGCUGAACCAGCCAAGUCGCGUGAGGGAAUAAGGCCCUACGGGUCGUAAACCUCUUUUGCCAGGGAGCAAUGCCGUCCACGUGUGGACGGAAGGAGAGUACCUGGAGAAAAAGCAUCGGCUAACUCCGUGCCAGCAGCCGCGGUAAUACGGAGGAUGCGAGCGUUAUCCGGAUUUAUUGGGUUUAAAGGGUGCGUAGGCGGCCUGCCAAGUCAGCGGUAAAAUUGCGGGGCUCAACCCCGUACAGCCGUUGAAACUGCCGGGCUCGAGUGGGCGAGAAGUAUGCGGAAUGCGUGGUGUAGCGGUGAAAUGCAUAGAUAUCACGCAGAACCCCGAUUGCGAAGGCAGCAUACCGGCGCCCGACUGACGCUGAGGCACGAAAGCGUGGGUAUCGAACAGGAUUAGAUACCCUGGCAGUCCACGCAGUAAACGAUGAAUACUAAUUGUCCGGUCAGAAUGAUGACUGGGUGAUACAGCGAAAGCGUUAAGUAUUCCACCUGGGGAGUACGCCGGCAACGGUGAAACUCAAA